RNAcentral lists this ribosomal RNA (1288 nucleotides) under Oerskovia turbata. Its description in RNAcentral is "bacterial SSU rRNA". It matches the Rfam family "Bacterial small subunit ribosomal RNA", at positions 79 to 1380 of the family's 1533-position model. The record is from RNAcentral. Lineage: Bacteria; Bacillati; Actinomycetota; Actinomycetes; Micrococcales; Cellulomonadaceae.
CUUGCUGGGCGGAUCAGUGGCGAACGGGUGAGUAACACGUGAGUAACCUGCCCCAGACUCCGGGAUAAGCCUUGGAAACGAGGUCUAAUACUGGAUACGAGAUGCCCCUGCAUGGGGAGUGUCUGGAAAGAUUUAUCGGUCUGGGAUGGACUCGCGGCCUAUCAGCUUGUUGGUGGGGUAAUGGCCUACCAAGGCGACGACGGGUAGCCGGCCUGAGAGGGCGACCGGCCACACUGGGACUGAGACACGGCCCAGACUCCUACGGGAGGCAGCAGUGGGGAAUAUUGCACAAUGGGCGAAAGCCUGAUGCAGCGACGCCGCGUGAGGGAUGAAGGCCUUCGGGUUGUAAACCUCUUUCAGCAGGGAAGAAGCGCAAGUGACGGUACCUGCAGAAGAAGCGCCGGCUAACUACGUGCCAGCAGCCGCGGUAAUACGUAGGGCGCAAGCGUUGUCCGGAAUUAUUGGGCGUAAAGAGCUCGUAGGCGGUUUGUCGCGUCUGGUGUGAAAACUCAAGGCUCAACCUUGAGCUUGCAUCGGGUACGGGCAGACUAGAGUGCGGUAGGGGUGACUGGAAUUCCUGGUGUAGCGGUGGAAUGCGCAGAUAUCAGGAGGAACACCGAUGGCGAAGGCAGGUCACUGGGCCGCAACUGACGCUGAGGAGCGAAAGCAUGGGGAGCGAACAGGAUUAGAUACCCUGGUAGUCCAUGCCGUAAACGUUGGGCACUAGGUGUGGGGCUCAUUCCACGAGUUCCGUGCCGCAGCAAACGCAUUAAGUGCCCCGCCUGGGGAGUACGGCCGCAAGGCUAAAACUCAAAGGAAUUGACGGGGGCCCGCACAAGCGGCGGAGCAUGCGGAUUAAUUCGAUGCAACGCGAAGAACCUUACCAAGGCUUGACAUACACCGGAAACUUCCAGAGAUGGUUGCCCCGCAAGGUCGGUGUACAGGUGGUGCAUGGUUGUCGUCAGCUCGUGUCGUGAGAUGUUGGGUUAAGUCCCGCAACGAGCGCAACCCUCGUCUUAUGUUGCCAGCACGUCAUGGUGGGGACUCAUAAGAGACUGCCGGGGUCAACUCGGAGGAAGGUGGGGAUGACGUCAAAUCAUCAUGCCCCUUAUGUCUUGGGCUUCACGCAUGCUACAAUGGCCGGUACAAAGGGCUGCGAUACCGCGAGGUGGAGCGAAUCCCAAAAAGCCGGUCUCAGUUCGGAUUGGGGUCUGCAACUCGACCCCAUGAAGUCGGAGUCGCUAGUAAUCGCAGAUCAGCAACGCUGCGGUGAAUACGUUCCCGGGCC